CCUACGGGUGGCUGCAGUGAGGAAUAUUGGUCAAUGGACGAGAGUCUGACGCAGCCAAGUAGCGUGAAGGAUGAAUGCCCUAUGGGUUGUAAACUUCUUUUAUAUGGGAAUACAAUGUUCCACGUGUGGGAUUUUGUAUGUACCAUAUGUAUAAGGAUCGGCUCACUCCGUGCCAGGAGCCGCGGCAAUACGGAGGAUCCGAGCGUUACCCGGAUUUAUUGGGUUUAAAGGGAGCGUAGGUGGAUUGUUAAGUCAAUGGUGAAAGUUUGCUGCUCAACCGUAAAAUUGCAGUUGAAACUGGCAGUCUUGAGUACGUUAGAGGGUAGCGGAAUUCGUGGUGUAGCGGUGAAAUGCUUAGAUAUCACGAAGAACUCCGAUGGCGAAGGCAAUUCACUGGACUACAACUGACACUGAGGCUCGAAAGUGUGGGUAUCAAACAGGAUUAGAUACCCUUGUAGUC
RNAcentral lists this ribosomal RNA (460 nucleotides) under uncultured bacterium. RNAcentral describes it as "partial 16S ribosomal RNA". It matches the Rfam family "Bacterial small subunit ribosomal RNA", at positions 338 to 795 of the family's 1533-position model. The record is from RNAcentral.